GGGCCCGUAGCUCAGCUGGGAGAGCGUUCGGUUCGCAUCCGAGAGGUCGAGGGUUCGAAUCCCUUCGGGUCCACCA
This 76-nucleotide transfer RNA is filed under the name Bacillota bacterium. RNAcentral's name for it is "tRNA-Ala". It matches the Rfam family "tRNA". Rfam says of the family: Transfer RNA (tRNA) molecules are approximately 80 nucleotides in length. Their secondary structure includes four short double-helical elements and three loops (D, anti-codon, and T loops). RNAcentral also lists the same sequence under 3 other names. Lineage: Bacteria; Bacillati; Bacillota. The record is from RNAcentral.